UCUGCCUAUAGAGGCCUGGGGUCCCUUUGGCAGCACUUUUCUCAAGAAAGUAGAGUCGUGGACAACCAACUGCACAGGUUGGGAGGCUUUGAAGAACAAGCUGCCAUGAAUCCUGCAGCUACAAGGAAAUGAACUCUAUUAACUUGAGUGAGCUUAAAACUAGAUCCUUCCCCAGUCAAGCCUCCAGGUGAGAAUUCAAUCCUGGCUGGCACCUGGAUUGCAGCUUACAGAAGACCCAGCUAAGGCCAUGUCUGGACUUUAAAUCCACAGGAACUGCAAGAUGGUAUCAGAAGUGGGACCUGCAGUGGGGCAUCUAGCAACCCCCAGGAGCAUUGAGUGACCAGGCUUGGGACCCACCGGGCGCAGGGUGUCCAUUGUUCUCUCGAAGCAACUGAGAAUUGUGGAUAUUCUUCAUUAUUCCAUCAUCAUCUCAAACCUCUUGGGUAUAGUGUUUGACUACUACUGUGACCAUAAAUUCCAAUAAAACCUAGGAAAAAUGAAACCACUACAUUAACUGAAAGGGAUCAGUGUAUGUGAGAAGUUUGGAUUUCUACCCCCACCUGGCAAUAAUAAGGAAGGAUUUGACAGCUUCUUUUGGGCAUAUCAGAAUCGCCAGCAUCACUACUCUUGCACUGUGCGGCCAUUAUUAAGUGAAAUAAGGAUUACUUGAACACAAGCACUGCAAUGCCGCUACAGUCAAUGUGAUAACCCAGCUGGUGACUAAGUGACCAAGGACGGGGAGUAUCUACAGCGGGGAGACUCUGGAAAAAGGGAGGAUUCACAUCCAGUGCCACUGGGGCAGGGCAGAAUGAGAGUUCAUCAUGCUACAAAGAAUGGCACAGAAUAUACGACUUGUGAGUGGAUUAUCUCUGGAAUUUUCUGUUGACUACAUUUGUACUACAGUUGUAUGUGGGUAACAAACUGUGGAAAGUGAAACUUCGGGUAAGGGGGAGGCUACCGUAGAUAGCCCAGUAUUUCUUAUUUUGUGGAUUUGUUUAUCUUUCUGCUCACAUCCUUUUCCUUCUGCAUUACCAUUUUAGUAAAAAUAGAUAGCAUCCA
This 1059-nucleotide long non-coding RNA is filed under the name Homo sapiens (human). RNAcentral's name for it is "HSALNT0347263". The record is from RNAcentral. Lineage: Eukaryota; Metazoa; Chordata; Mammalia; Primates; Hominidae.